GUAGAAAGCAAUUCAAUAAACUACCAUACAACACAAAGAUGGAGAGGCAGGUGGUAAUUAGCACUGGGAAAUGCCAUAGGACAGGCUUUUACCUGGAGUGAUGGUGAUACGGUACAGCAAAAUUCUGUGGCGCUGAGCUGCAUUUUGGAUAACCAGUUGGGAUUGGGAUGAUAUUUGGACUCUUCUUCUUUUGGCAUCACCUGUGUCUCACUUGGAUUGAUCCUCAGAUCGACACAACAAAAACUGAGAGAUUACUCAGGCAGAUAUGAUGAAAGAGACCUAAAGAAUAUCAUCUACAUAGUGAAGGCUGCACAAGCUACCUCAAAGCACUACAUGGCAAAAUUAGCAGCACUAGGAGAGGACUUCCUGACACCUGAGUGAGUGGAAUUGGCCACGAUAAAGAGAUGAUGGUGUUUGACCCAAAUGGACUCAGUUUUGUCUGAGGCAAGUGCCACUCCGCCCCCUCCGUUCUCCCCUCUUGGAAGAAAAGGUGAUGUGGGAAUUUUGGAAAGAGAAGAAUAAGUGAAAUGAAAUCACAAUAAGGAGCAAAAUGGUAAAGGACAAGGCAACUCCAGGGGGUGACAGAAAAUAAAAUGUACCAAAACCUCCAGUGUUCCAUACAAUCACUUCAGAGUCUGGGAAUGUUAUUCAGGUCUUUUGAAUGUUCUCUUUCUGUCCCUGCAGAACUGAGACUUCUUUGUCAAAUAUUUCACACUGACUACUUGUGCUGAAGAUAAACCCACAUUUUCAGAUCCAUGAGUCAUGUUUAAGGCCCUACCAAAUUCACUGACCAUUUUGGUCAAUUUCACGGUCAUAAGAUUUUUUAAAUGGUCAAUUUCACUGUUUCAGAUGUUCACAUCUGAAAUUCCAUGCUGUUGUAACCUAUU
This is a long non-coding RNA of Malaclemys terrapin pileata, 887 nucleotides long. RefSeq lists it as uncharacterized. The record is from RefSeq and is a predicted model, not a curated record. The transcript has 5 exons. Lineage: Eukaryota; Metazoa; Chordata; Testudines; Emydidae.